RNAcentral lists this ribosomal RNA (529 nucleotides) under uncultured bacterium. RNAcentral describes it as "bacterial SSU rRNA". It matches the Rfam family "Bacterial small subunit ribosomal RNA", at positions 8 to 526 of the family's 1533-position model. The record is from RNAcentral.
AGAGUUUGAUCAUGGCUCAGAUUGAACGCUGGCGGCAGGCCUAACACAUGCAAGUCGAGCGGCAGCGGGAAGUAGCUUGCUACUUUGCCGGCGAGCGGCGGACGGGUGAGUAACGCGUGGGAAUCUACCCAUUUGUGGGGGAUAACUUGGGGAAACCCAAGCUAAUACCGCAUAAUCCCUACGGGGGAAAGCAGGGGACCUUCGGACCUUGCGCAGAUGGAUGAGCCCGCGUCGGAUUAGCUAGUUGGUAGGGUAAAGGCCUACCAAGGCGACGAUCCGUAACUGGUCUGAGAGGAUGACCAGUCACAUCGGGACUGAGACACGGCCCGAACUCCUACGGGAGGCAGCAGUGGGGAAUCUUGGACAAUGGGGGCAACCCUGAUCCAGCCAUGCCGCGUGUGUGAAGAAGGCCCUAGGGUUGUAAAGCACUUUCAGUAGGGAGGAAGGCUUCGGGUUAAUACCCUGGAGUACUUGACGUUACCUACAGAAGAAGCACCGGCUAAUUUCGUGCCAGCCGCCGCGGUAAUAC